CUUCUGAAUUAUAAUAGGCUAGAAUUAUUUUACUUAUUAGUAUCAAGAAUUGGCAACUAAAGUUAAAAACUUUUAAGAUUUUGGUUAGAAAACACGCUUUAAAAAUACAGACUCAAAUAAUUCAUCCAAAUCAACUUAAAAACGCUGUCUACCCAAAGAUUCACGCCCUAGAUUAAACAGUUGUUUAGAUGUUUUUUUUUUUUUUCAUCCAUUAAGUGUAACAUACUGUAAUACUAGAAUCUGUAUCAUGUUCAGAGAAUCACAAGAAACCCAAAAAGAAUUCUGACUUUGCCAAGUCAUUGUUUUUUGAAAGAAUUCUGAAUGACAUCAUUUUAUAAGAGAAGCAUGACAGUUGUGUGAAGUACAACCUCUCAUUUGACUGCUUUUCACAAAUACUGAGUAUAAAUGACCCCAGAAAACAUCUGAGGCAUUCAGCAGCUAAAUCCAUGCCAGAAACCAGCUAUGAGCCAGCUGAUGACGACAUAACCACAGCGGUUCACAUACACAAGCCGUCUCCUUUAGCCACUUUUAUCAGUCAUUGCUCUAUUUUAAGAUCUAUCUGUUCUGAGAUCACGAGGGUCAAAUGUCAGAGUUAUCUGAAUGCCACAUCAACAAGAAGAGUUAAGCACUGAAUGAUUAGAAAAGAUGACAAUAACAGUCCGGUUUCUCAGUCCGACCUCUGUCUGUCUGGCCACUUUUCUUUACAGCUCUCUAUAGAUCAGUCUUAGCAAGAAAAAAGAUGCCAUUGUUUUGGAGAGGGAAGGGCUCAUCCUUUCUGCCAGGAGAGGAAGCUGGGGCAGAGGCAGGACGCUUACACCAGCAAUGACCUCAUCAUCCUGGGCUGUCUACGGUUACCAGCAACAACAGGAUUCCCGUAAGUAGUGGGCGACAGAAAACAAGUUGGAUAUUGUUUAGGUGCAUUUUAGGAUGAAGCAAUGAACAGCCCGAGGAGAGCUGAGGAUGAAGAAAAAAAACGAAGGAAAGCUGACUUGAGGAAUGUGCUGUGUCAGAGGAACUGUGUUUGGACUUUACCAGGGCCCCCAGAGAGUCUCUGUCACUUUGUGCUCCCUGGACAAUAUAAUCGAGACAGCAGAAUGCUAGAUACGUGCCAUAAAACUAAAGGCCUACGCAGGUACAGUGAUGCAAUAUUUACACUUUUUCUGAGUCACUGCAAGUCCUGUCUGCCUGGAAACCAUUUCUUACUCAGAGAGAGGACAAAGCAAUCUUUAUUGUGUAACAUCUCAUCAUUACACACAUUGCACAAAAAUGUACCUCAUGGUUAUAAAGAGAGAGAGAGAGAGAGAGAGAGAGAGAGAGAGAGAGAGAGAAUAAAAGGUGUUUAAAAGCAAUUGGUUUUCAAUGAAUGACAUCCUCAUUGUAGAAUCAACAUAAUAUGAUUAUGAUGUUUAUGCAUUUGAACCUUUUUCUGCAAAAACCCUCAUUUAUUUUUUCAACUGAAGAAAGAAAGACAUGAACAUCUUGGAUGACAUGGGGAUCUUUAUGGAGUCUUUUUGUUUCACUGUUAUGCGGCCACACUGGGAGCAUUUUAAGACGGCAGUGUGAGUUCCUGUAAGCUGAUCUGUCACAGCUGGGCCGAGGAUGAUGUGCCGUGGGUGUGACGCCUCCAGGUUCAGUAACGCCCGAGAGGCACACCCAGUCCUCCUCACCUUCAGAGCAAACCUCCCACACACACGCAUGCACACACACGCACGCACACACAAACAGAAAAAGCUGCUCUGACAGGGGCUUUCUGUAUAAUAAUGCAUCAGUCACACUCAGAACAAAAUCUUUUGGUGAGCAAAUUAAACUAUGUACAUUUGUUGAUAAAACUUUCUGUACUUCUUGGA
This is a long non-coding RNA of Carassius auratus (goldfish), 1847 nucleotides long. RefSeq lists it as uncharacterized. The record is from RefSeq and is a predicted model, not a curated record. Lineage: Eukaryota; Metazoa; Chordata; Actinopteri; Cypriniformes; Cyprinidae. The transcript is spliced from 3 exons.